RNAcentral lists this ribosomal RNA (439 nucleotides) under uncultured bacterium. RNAcentral describes it as "partial 16S ribosomal RNA". It matches the Rfam family "Bacterial small subunit ribosomal RNA", at positions 339 to 795 of the family's 1533-position model. The record is from RNAcentral.
CUACGGGGGGCUCCAGUGGGGAAUAUUGCACAAUGGAGGAAACUCUGAUGCAGCAACGCCGCGUGGAGGAUGACACUUUUCGGAGCGUAAACUCCUUUUAUAUAGGAAGAAGAUGACGGUACUAUAUGAAUAAGCGCCGGCUAACUCCGUGCCAGCAGCCGCGGUAAUACGGAGGGCGCAAGCGUUACUCGGAAUCACUGGGCGUAAAGAGCGUGUAGGCGGAUUAAAAGGUCAGAAGUGAAAUCCUAUAGCUUAACUAUAGAACUGCUUCUGAAACUCUUAAUCUAGAAUAUGGGAGAGGUAGAUGGAAUUUCUGGUGUAGGGGUAAUAUACGUAGAGAUCAGAAGGAAUACCGAUUGCGAAGGCGAUCUACUAGAACAUUAUUGACGCUGAGACGCGAAAGCGUGGGGAGCAAACAGGAUUAGAUACCCCUGUAGUC